RNA transcript from Zalophus californianus (California sea lion), 1051 nucleotides. It is a transcript of the gene named transmembrane protein 139, with no coding region annotated. The transcript is spliced from 3 exons. Lineage: Eukaryota; Metazoa; Chordata; Mammalia; Carnivora; Otariidae. The record is from RefSeq and is a predicted model, not a curated record.
UAGAGAAAAUUACAAAGCUGAAUGGAACUCUGAAGAUCAUAUAUUUGAGCCAUUUGAUUCGAGACUGAAGAACCUAAAACCUAAAGGUGUCUAAUAUGGCUACUUUGGAAUCUGACCCAGACGGGACGCCAAUUGCUGGUUUAGACACACCUGUGUGUCUUUUUGCAGGAGCCUGGGGAGGGGCCAUGGUGCCAACCCAGUUGUGGGGGAGACUGGAGAAGCCGCUUCUCUUCCUGUGCUGCACCUCCUUCCUCCUGGGGCUGGCUUUACUGGGCAUACGGCCGGACAUCGCCCCUGUUGCUUAUUUCUUUCUCGCCUUGGGUGGCUUCUUUUUGUUUGUUUGCCUCCUGGCCUGUUCUCUGGAAUGGGGGUUCCGAUCAAUGCAGACGGAGAGCCCAGGGGCCUCAGGCAAUGCACGUGACAAUGAAGCCUUUGAGGUGCCAACCUACGAAGAGGCUGUGGUGUUGGAAUCACAAUGCCGCCCCCAGCUGUUGGAUCAGCCACCCCCCUACAGCAGUGUUGUAAUCCCCCCAGAACUUGAGGAAGGACAACCUAGCAAUCCAGACGGCCCCAAUAGAGCCCGAUUAGAAAGGCGAGUGGGCUCAGAGGGAUCUAUGACCCCACAAAACUCUGGAAGAGAUCCAGUCAGCCUUCGGCUUCGGGGAUCCCGGGUCAUGUCCACUGCUCCUGAUCUGCAGAGCUUGGGGGUGCCCCCCAAAUUGGAGCCUCUUACUCCACCUCCUGCCUAUGAUGUCAGCUUUGGUCAACCUGAUGAUGAUGUUUUCUCUGAAAACAACGGGACGCCCCCCUAAAAGACUUUACCACGAUAUAUCAUCUCUGCACCAGACCCAUUCAUGCAUUUGACCAACAGUUCCCCGUGCCUGCUGUGUCAGGAACUGUGUUUCUGCAUGGGGAACUGAACACAGAGGGGAGUCAGGCUAUGGUCCUCCACAAAAUCUCUCAAUCCCUAUUGGACAACUGCUGGACAGAGGUGGGAGACUUCCUAUAGACAGAAUGGUGGAAUAGUUGUGUCUGCAGACAGUGUGGGCUG